RNAcentral lists this ribosomal RNA (523 nucleotides) under uncultured bacterium. Its description in RNAcentral is "partial 16S ribosomal RNA". It matches the Rfam family "Bacterial small subunit ribosomal RNA", at positions 28 to 523 of the family's 1533-position model. The record is from RNAcentral.
GACGAACGCUGGCGGCGUGCCUAAUACAUGCAAGUCGAACGAAGCUUUUUUAACUGGUGCUUGCACCGACUUAAACAGCUGAGUGGCGAACGGGUGAGUAACACGUGGGUAACCUGCCCCAAAGCGGGGGAUAACAUUUGGAAACAGAUGCUAAUACCGCAUAACCACAGAAACCACAUGGUUUCUGUGUCAAAGAUGGUUUCGGCUAUCACUUUGGGAUGGACCCGCGGCGUAUUAGCUAGUUGGUAAGGUAAUGGCUUACCAAGGCAAUGAUACGUAGCCGAACUGAGAGGUUGAUCGGCCACAUUGGGACUGAGACACGGCCCAAACUCCUACGGGAGGCAGCAGUAGGGAAUCUUCCACCAUGGACGAAAGUCUGAUGGAGCAACGCCGCGUGAGUGAAGAAGGUUUCGGAUCGUAAAACUCUGUUGUCAGAGAAGAACGUGUGCGAGAGUAACUGUUCGUGCAGUGACGGUAUCUGGCCAGAAAGCCACGGCUAACUACGUGCCAGCCGCCGCAGUAA